This 238-nucleotide long non-coding RNA is filed under the name Nicotiana benthamiana. RNAcentral describes it as "long non-coding RNA (NBEN_LNC001050)". Lineage: Eukaryota; Viridiplantae; Streptophyta; Magnoliopsida; Solanales; Solanaceae. The record is from RNAcentral.
CAUAAGCACAACCAACAAAUAGUGACUCACAUCUGCUAGCAUACUUUAAGAAAAAGUAUAUCUAAGAACAAGUAGAAUAUGAUUUUUCAAAAUUAAACUAGUCCAACCAAAUCUAUGUUAAGUUUUCUUUCUUUUUCUUAUCAAUGAUUAGAACAGCUACUUUAUACAGAAAUCAAAUCUUCUUUUUAUUUCUCCCUUUAUUGAUCAAGAAUACUGAAAUUAAUUCAAGACGAUAGAU